This 616-nucleotide ribosomal RNA is filed under the name uncultured Sphingomonadales bacterium. RNAcentral describes it as "bacterial SSU rRNA". It matches the Rfam family "Bacterial small subunit ribosomal RNA", at positions 8 to 670 of the family's 1533-position model. The record is from RNAcentral. Lineage: Bacteria; Pseudomonadati; Pseudomonadota; Alphaproteobacteria; Sphingomonadales.
AGAGUUUGAUCCUGGCUCAGAACGAACGCUGGCGGCAUGCCUAACACAUGCAAGUCGAACGAACCCUUCGGGGUUAGUGGCGCACGGGUGCGUAACGCGUGGGAACCUGCCUUUUGGUUCGGAAUAACAGUGAGAAAUUGCUGCUAAUACCGGAUAAUGUCUUCGGACCAAAGAUUUAUCGCCAUUAGAUGGGCCCGCGUAGGAUUAGCUAGUUGGUGGGGUAAAGGCCUACCAAGGCGACGAUCCUUAGCUGGUCUUAGAGGAUGAUCAGCCACACUGGGACUGAGACACGGCCCAGACUCCUACGGGAGGCAGCAGUGGGGAAUAUUGGACAAUGGGCGAAAGCCUGAUCCAGCAAUGCCGCGUGAGUGAUGAAGGCCUUAGGGUUGUAAAGCUCUUUUACCCGGGAUGAUAAUGACAGUACCGGGAGAAUAAGCCCCGGCUAACUCCGUGCCAGCAGCCGCGGUAAUACGGAGGGGGCUAGCGUUGUUCGGAAAUACUGGGCGUAAAGCGUGCGUAGGCGGCUUGGCAAGUCAGGGGUGAAAUCCCAGAGCUCAACUCUGGAACUGCCCUUGAAACUGCCGAGCUAGAAUCUUGGAGAGGUCAGUGGAAUUCC